CGGUGACAAACCGGAGGAAGUGGGGAUGACGUCAAGUCAUCAUGGCCCUUACGGCCUGGGCUACACACGUGCUACAAUGGUCGGUACAAAGGGUUGCCAAGCCGCGAGGUGGAGCUAAUCCCAUAAAACCGAUCGUAGUCCGGAUCGCAGUCUGCAACUCGACUGCGUGAAGUCGGAAUCGCUAGUAAUCGUGAAUCAGAAUGUCACGGUGAAUACGUUCCCGGGCCUU
Molecule: ribosomal RNA, 229 nt
Filed under: uncultured Pseudomonas sp.
Lineage: Bacteria; Pseudomonadati; Pseudomonadota; Gammaproteobacteria; Pseudomonadales; Pseudomonadaceae
Description: partial 16S ribosomal RNA
Rfam family: Bacterial small subunit ribosomal RNA
Source: RNAcentral